GAUGAACGCUGGCGGCGUGCCUAAUACAUGCAAGUCGAGCGAACAGACGAGGAGCUUGCUCCUCUGACGUUAGCGGCGGACGGGUGAGUAACACGUGGAUAACCUACCUAUAAGACUGGGAUAACUUCGGGAAACCGGAGCUAAUACCGGAUAAUAUAUUGAACUGCAUGGUUCAAUAGUGAAAGACGGUUUUGCUGUCACUUAUAGAUGGAUCCGCGCCGCAUUAGCUAGUUGGUAAGGUAACGGCUUACCAAGGCAACGAUGCGUAGCCGACCUGAGAGGGUGAUCGGCCACACUGGAACUGAGACACGGUCCAGACUCCUACGGGAGGCAGCAGUAGGGAAUCUUCCGCAAUGGGCGAAAGCCUGACGGAGCAACGCCGCGUGAGUGAUGAAGGUCUUCGGAUCGUAAAACUCUGUUAUUAGGGAAGAACAAAUGUGUAAGUAACUAUGCACGUCUUGACGGUACCUAAUCAGAAAGCCACGGCUAACUACAUG
This 497-nucleotide ribosomal RNA is filed under the name uncultured bacterium. Its description in RNAcentral is "partial 16S ribosomal RNA". It matches the Rfam family "Bacterial small subunit ribosomal RNA", at positions 28 to 507 of the family's 1533-position model. The record is from RNAcentral.